CUCCAUCUGCUCAUGGCUGCUGGGGGCUGACCAUGAGGACACAGGAUCCAGGAAGAGGACACUUUUCCUAGGGGAGAGACACAAGAUCUCAAUGUGGAAUGAUGCUUUCGUGGCACCCUAGGUGGCACAAAUGAGCCACCUGGAAAUGAUCAGCCAUACGAACACCACCAUCAGAGAAGCCCAGGGACCCAUGAGGAGAGUGACAGCACUUAGUGAGUACGGAGAACGAGGAAACACAGCGCUAAGCAUAGUACGUAAGGUGUCCUAGGAGCUCUUCCAGAAAGCCAGCAGCCACCAGUGACCCUGCUUUGGUCAGCACCAUGAGAGGGGGUCCUCUUCCCGCCCUGUGUCUGGGGGAGACAGGACGUGUUAGGAAGAAACCAUCAGCACCACCUGAACAUGCCUCAAGCACGC
Peromyscus maniculatus bairdii (prairie deer mouse) is the source of this 414-nucleotide non-coding RNA. The record is from RefSeq and is a predicted model, not a curated record. NCBI's taxonomy places the organism in Eukaryota, Metazoa, Chordata, Mammalia, Rodentia, Cricetidae.